AGAGAUAAGGAACAGGUAGGCCC
This 23-nucleotide non-coding RNA is filed under the name Cricetulus griseus (Chinese hamster). Lineage: Eukaryota; Metazoa; Chordata; Mammalia; Rodentia; Cricetidae. The record is from RNAcentral.